Molecule: ribosomal RNA, 495 nt
Filed under: uncultured Alcaligenaceae bacterium
Lineage: Bacteria; Pseudomonadati; Pseudomonadota; Betaproteobacteria; Burkholderiales; Alcaligenaceae
Description: bacterial SSU rRNA
Rfam family: Bacterial small subunit ribosomal RNA
Source: RNAcentral
GCGGGAUGCCUUCCAUGCAAGUCGAACGGCAGCGCGGACUUCGGUCUGGCGGCGAGUGGCGAGCGGGUGAGUAAUGUAUCGGAACGUGCCCAGUAGCGGGGGAUAACUACUCGAAAGAGUAGCUAAUACCGCAUACGCCCUACGGGGGAAAGGGGGGGAUCGCAAGACCUCUCACUAUUGGAGCGGCCGAUAUCGGAUUAGCUAGUUGGUGAGGUAAAGGCUCACCAAGGCGACGAUCCGUAGCUGGUUUGAGAGGACGACCAGCCACACUGGGACUGAGACACGGCCCAGACUCCUACGGGAGGCAGCAGUGGGGAAUUUUGGACAAUGGGGGAAACCCUGAUCCAGCCAUUCCGCGUGUGCGAUGAAGGCCUUCGGGUUGUAAAGCACUUUUGGCAGGAAAGAAAUCGCAUGGAUUAAUACUCUGUGUGGAUGACGGUACCUGCAGAAUAAGCACCGGCUAACUACGUGCCAGCGCCGCGGUAAUAAUCACUA